Molecule: long non-coding RNA, 943 nt
Organism: Leguminivora glycinivorella
Lineage: Eukaryota; Metazoa; Arthropoda; Insecta; Lepidoptera; Tortricidae
Exons: 2
Source: RefSeq, a predicted model, not a curated record
AUCAUGUGCUAUAUAGUCUAUCCUUAAGAGGAUUGUUCUGCUUCUGUUAUUUGUGAUGAAGGUCUUCAGAGAUGCCGUCAUGUGUUAUAUAGUCCUUAAGAGGUAUAUCCUUAAGAGGUUAGCUUGAGACCUUGUUUGUCAAAAGCAUGUUUUAUGACCUUAAAGAGUUGUGAUCUCAAGGUUACCUUGAAAGGGUUGCUUGCACUAAUACUUUCCAGAGGUUGCUGGUGGAAUUACGGUUUCCAAUAGAGUGCAUGCUACAGGCUGCGCGACAACCUUGUCAUGAAGGGCCAACGUCUGCGGUCGUUGCGCCGCCAGCCUCGAAAGCAGCCGUAUCACCGUGGCUUGCGUAUGAAGCUUUGAUAUGAGCUUUUUAAUAAGAGCUUUCUUGCUGCUUGCUGUGUUAGAAGGCGGCUAUGCUCACACAUGGAGUGUGUCAUGUUCACCUCUCACGAGUUUGAUGUACGCGUUGUUGCGCGUGCGGGGAACUUCACAGCCUACAGUGACGGAGCCAACUGUGAGUUUGUUCCAUGUAUUUGCUAUUUUAACAACGCCAAUCAUCAUUGUUAUAUUUAGCGGUUAGUUUGGAAUGCACCGCUCACGUAAGGUCUUACUUAGAACAUAAUACUUGCCUGAAAUGAAAUGUAUUGAUGGGUAAAGAUAUUUACAAGCAAAUAUUGGGUGGUGCUUUGUACACCGGUAAUUACCUGCCCGCCGCUAUAUGUCAUAUAUUUUACAUAAUUAAUUUGACUAAUAUAUAGUAUCGAUCAUGGCGGUAAAACAUGUAGUUUUCGUACCAUUGGCACCUUAAUAGUUUUAAAGCCUUACUGGCCGUGGAAUUGUUAAAAAAAAAAUGAUCUGACUUACUUGUACUAGGCUAGUCUGGUCAUGCAAUCUUGAGUUAGUUAUGUCAUACUCUGAUUCGACUAUAAAAUGAGACAAA